AAGUCGUAACAAGGUAACCGUAGGUGAACCUGCGGUUGGAUCAUUAUUUACACACACACGAUUUACGAUUGUGUGCUUCGACCCUGUGCAUUUUUAGUACUUGAUACGUGAUUGAGAGUGCUCGUACGUGCUCACGACAAUACAAUAAACUGAGAAGCAAAUCAAAACAACUUUUGACAACGGAUCUCUUGGCUCUC
Molecule: unclassified non-coding RNA, 197 nt
Filed under: fungal sp.
Lineage: Eukaryota; Fungi
Description: partial internal transcribed spacer region
Rfam family: Eukaryotic small subunit ribosomal RNA (bases 1-46)
Source: RNAcentral